AACGAACGCUGGCGGCAUGCCUAACACAUGCAAGUCGAACGAGACCUUCGGGUCUAGUGGCGCACGGGUGCGUAACGCGUGGGAACCUGCCCUUAGGUUCGGAAUAACUCCCCGAAAGGGGUGCUAAUACCGGAUAAUGUCUUCGGACCAAAGAUUUAUCGCCUUUGGAUGGGCCCGCGUUGGAUUAGCUAGUUGGUAGGGUAAAAGCCUACCAAGGCGACGAUCCAUAGCAGGUCUGAGAGGAUGAUCAGCCACACUGGGACUGAGACACGGCCCAGACUCCUACGGGAGGCAGCAGUGGGGAAUAUUGGACAAUGGGCGAAAGCCUGAUCCAGCAAUGCCGCGUGAGUGAUGAAGGCCUUAGGGUUGUAAAGCUCUUUUACCCGGGAUGAUAAUGACAGUACCGGGAGAAUAAGCUCCGGCUAACUCCGU
Molecule: ribosomal RNA, 432 nt
Filed under: uncultured bacterium
Lineage: Bacteria
Description: partial 16S ribosomal RNA
Rfam family: Bacterial small subunit ribosomal RNA
Source: RNAcentral